RNAcentral lists this unclassified non-coding RNA (354 nucleotides) under Hevea brasiliensis (rubber tree). The record is from RNAcentral. Lineage: Eukaryota; Viridiplantae; Streptophyta; Magnoliopsida; Malpighiales; Euphorbiaceae.
UGCUUUGGAUCAACUUUGUGAUAACGAAGGUAUGUCUCAUUCCAUUGCAGUACUUGCAGAAGCCGAUCACGAACACUCUCUGCAGUGGCAUAGAAAGCUUGCUUCGGCUCGAACUUGGAAAGGGAGAAAUGAGGGUUGAAUUGUGCAUGGUAAUUAAUAUUUGAUGCAAUCUUUAAAGGGUCUUCAGCCAAAGGGUUGGCAGCAGCCGGAAUAUUACAAGAAACAGCCGAAACAUAAGCACUAGUACCGUUGGCUGGCUUUUUAGUUGCCAUUGCUAACCUCUAAUAAUGCCUUGGAGAGGAAACGCUUGUUUCGCUAACAGAGAAGCAUCCAACGCCACCACCCUUUUUCAAC